ACUGACCGAUAGUGAACCAGUACCGUGAGGGAAAGGCGAAAAGAACCCCGGCGAGGGGAGUGAAAAAGAACCUGAAACCGUGUACGUACAAGCAGUGGGAGCACGCUUAGGCGUGUGACUGCGUACCUUUUGUAUAAUGGGUCAGCGACUUAUAUUCUGUAGCAAGGUUAACCGAAUAGGGGAGCCGAAGGGAAACCGAGUCUUAACUGGGCGUUAAGUUGCAGGGUAUAGACCCGAAACCCGGUGAUCUAGCCAUGGGCAGGUUGAAGGUUGGGUAACACUAACUGGAGGACCGAACCGACUAAUGUUGAAAAAUUAGCGGAUGACUUGUGGCUGGGGGUGAAAGGCCAAUCAAACCGGGAGAUAGCUGGUUCUCCCCGAAAGCUAUUUAGGUAGCGCCUCGUGAAUUCAUCUCCGGGGGUAGAGCACUGUUUCGGCAAGGGGGUCAUCCCGACUUACCAACCCGAUGCAAACUGCGAAUACCGGAGAAUGUUAUCACGGGAGACACACGGCGGGUGCUAACGUCCGUCGUGAAGAGGGAAACAACCCAGACCGCCAGCUAAGGUCCCAAAGUCAUGGUUAAGUGGGAAACGAUGUGGGAAGGCCCAGACAGCCAGGAUGUUGGCUUAGAAGCAGCCAUCAUUUAAAGAAAGCGUAAUAGCUCACUGGUCGAGUCGGCCUGCGCGGAAGAUGUAACGGGGCUAAACCAUGCACCGAAGCUGCGGCAGCGACGCUGAUGCGUUGUUGGGUAGGGGAGCGUUCUGUAAGCCUGUGAAGGUGUGCUGUGAGGCAUGCUGGAGGUAUC
Molecule: ribosomal RNA, 805 nt
Filed under: Escherichia coli
Lineage: Bacteria; Pseudomonadati; Pseudomonadota; Gammaproteobacteria; Enterobacterales; Enterobacteriaceae
Description: partial 23S ribosomal RNA
Rfam family: Bacterial large subunit ribosomal RNA
Source: RNAcentral